Molecule: ribosomal RNA, 491 nt
Filed under: uncultured bacterium
Lineage: Bacteria
Description: partial 16S ribosomal RNA
Rfam family: Bacterial small subunit ribosomal RNA
Source: RNAcentral
AGUGAACGCUGGCGGUAGGCCUAACACAUGCAAGUCGAACGGCAGCACAGUAAGAGCUUGCUCUUACGGGUGGCGAGUGGCGGACGGGUGAGGAAUACAUCGGAAUCUACUUUUUCGUGGGGGAUAACGUAGGGAAACUUACGCUAAUACCGCAUACGACCUACGGGUGAAAGCAGGGGAUCUUCGGACCUUGCGCGAUUGAAUGAGCCGAUGUCGGAUUAGCUAGUUGGCGGGGUAAAGGCCCACCAAGGCGACGAUCCGUAGCUGGUCUGAGAGGAUGAUCAGCCACACUGGAACUGAGACACGGUCCAGAAUCCUACGGGAGGCAGCAGUGGGGAAUAUUGGACAAUGGGCGCAAGCCUGAUCCAGCCAUACCGCGUGGGUGAAGAAGGCCUUCGGGUUGUAAAGCCAUUUUGUUGGGAAAGAAAAGCAGCAGGUUAAUACCCCGCUGUUCUGACGGUACCCAAAGAAUAAGCACCGGCUAACUUCGU